RNAcentral lists this ribosomal RNA (454 nucleotides) under uncultured bacterium. RNAcentral's name for it is "partial 16S ribosomal RNA". It matches the Rfam family "Bacterial small subunit ribosomal RNA", at positions 28 to 507 of the family's 1533-position model. The record is from RNAcentral.
GAUGAACGCUGACAGAAUGCUUAACACAUGCAAGUCAACUUGAACUUCGGUUUGGGUGGCGGACGGGUGAGUAACGCGUAAAGAACUUGCCUCACAGAUAGGGACAACAUUUGGAAACGAAUGCUAAUACCUGAUAUUAUGAUUUUAGGGCAUCCUAGGAUUAUGAAAGCUAUAUGCGCUGUGAGAGAGCUUUGCGUCCCAUUAGCUAGUUGGAGAGGUAACGGCUCACCAAGGCGAUGAUGGGUAGCCGGCCUGAGAGGGUGAUCGGCCACAAGGGGACUGAGACACGGCCCUUGCUCCUACGGGAGGCAGCAGUGGAGAAUAUUGGACAAUGGACCAAGAGUCUGAUCCAGCAAUUCUGUGUGCACGAUGAAGUUUUUCGGAAUGUAAAGUGCUUUCAGUUGGGAAGAAAAAAAUGACGGUACCAACAGAAGAAGUGACGGCUAAAUACGUG